Long non-coding RNA from Rhinopithecus roxellana (golden snub-nosed monkey), 5956 nucleotides. RefSeq lists it as uncharacterized. The record is from RefSeq and is a predicted model, not a curated record. NCBI's taxonomy places the organism in Eukaryota, Metazoa, Chordata, Mammalia, Primates, Cercopithecidae. The transcript has 4 exons.
UUCACCGUGUUAGCCAGGAGGGUCUCGAUCUCCUGACCUCGUGAUCCGCCUGCCUCGGCCUCCCAAAGUGCUGGGAUUACAGGCUUGAGCCACCGCGCCCGGCCUAGAAUGCUUUUUAAAUGAAUACGCUGUGAUUGUAAUAUUUCUUCUUGGGGGCCGGGGAGAGUGCUGAGAGAUGCAGCUGUGUCUCUGCUGUCUGCAGUCUUGGGCAGGCAGCACCGUUGUCUCCUGAUACAGAGGGUUGAAUGCACUGCUUCACAGUGAUGCCACAUUUUCAAACCUAAACAUGAUUAACAUGUUUUAAGUAUUUAUCAAAUAAUUCACACUUUUGCAUAUUUAAAUGCUAUUUUUUAGAUAUUAAACACAUUCCUAGUUUUUUUCUUUUUAACCACUGGAGACUGCCAAUGUUAAGAUCUUGUGUUAUAUGAAAUUCUUCUAAAUUAAUUUCCUUUUACUUUUUGUGUUGCAUAUUUUCCAGUGGGGAUAAAUUGGAGGUUCUUAUUACUAAUAAUCCUGAAACUGAAAUUUGCUUUUCCUGCAUAGUCAUCUUUUGUUCAGUCCAUUUGAGUUUUGUUGCCAUCCAGUUUCAUAAUCAUGUUGUGUUUAUCUAAUAGACAAUGAGGUACUGCUUGAGUGAUACGAAAUUCUCUAGUAAAAAAUUCUCUGAAGAUGUGCGAAGUUCUGUUGCAUUACUUGGCACCAGGAAUGUCACAAAGAUGCUGUUGCCAGCAUAUUGCUAAUGUAGCCUUUAAGCUUCAGGGACCCCUGUAGUGUGUUGAGUUUGGAGCAUUAAUAGCAGGCUCACAGAAUAUAGUACCAAUAUGCCAAGUUAAAUAAUUGAGAAUAUAUACAAUAAAUUAUAAUUUGCUAUAUAUAAUAGACCUCAUUUCAUUUACAGUACAUCUUACAGUUGGGAUUAAUUCACCUAUAACCCCUGUGAACUGCGAGUGCUCGGCAGAAGCAGGCCCGUGUCUCGUUGAAUGUCUACAUUUAUAUUUAUAUUUAUUUUUUUGAGACAGAGUCUCAGUCUGUCACCCAGGCUACAGUGCAGUGGCAUGAUCAUAGCUCACUUGCAGUCUUCAACUCCUGGCUCAAGUGAUCCUGCCACCUUAGCAUGCUGAGUAGCUAGGACUGCAGGUACAUACCACCAUGGCUGGCUAAAUGCAUGUCUGCAUUGAUGCAAGGUGUGUUGACAGGGUGGGGAGGGAGCUGGGACUGAGAUUUGCCUCUGUAAAAUGCACAAAAAGGGCUUCCUAAGCAAAUUGAUAUUUGAAAUGAAAGAUGGAUUAAGUGAGAGACUUAGUUUAUUCAGGAAUAAGAGCAAAACUAACCACAUCAAAAAAUGUAUUUUACUGAGACAGCUUUUUGUGCAUACAACAGGGUGCUGUUUACAGAUUUCAAGAAGGAGAAAAAGAAUGCUUAUAUUGAGAUUACCUACCUCCCAGUAGUGAAAAUAAUAAAUUAUCCUUUAAAAUAUAAUCGUAUGUUUGUCACAGAAUCUACACUUACUUACAAGUGCUUUAUGCUCAGGAUGAAAUGGAGAUCCUGGCUCUCUUGUUUCAAUGAUCUUAGAAGAUAAUUCCAGGAAUUUUAAAGAUCUUAAUGGUAUGAGCAGAAAAGGUGUUUGAAGAAAAGAAGGAAAUUGUGUGUUUGACACAUUGGGCUUCUUUCUGUGUUGUUAGUGUUGGGUUUGGGUCAUUCAGGAUUUCUUAACUAAUUCAGACGUAAAUCAGGCUACUGUAGAAGAUAGUAGUUGGAAUGGACAGAAGAUGAUUUUUAGCCAAUGAGGCAAAAAAAGUCAUCUUUCCUGCUUUUUCUAAAAUGAUAUGUUGAGAAGACGUUUUUAUGAGAUAUGCAUUUCUGAAUUAAAGGAUUCCUUCUGAAAAUACAACUUGUUAGGUAAUGUGAACAUAUUUUUUCUGUUGGCCAAAGUUCAUUUUUUGAAGUGGGGGCCUCAUUUAUUUUUGAUUUUCAGAAUUGAGUCUCUAUAAGGCCUAAAAUAAAAUAUAUUAAAUGUUAUCAGAGUUGUUUGCGCCUGUUUAAAUAUCUUUUUUUGCAAGUCACUUAUAUUUCUUGGUACUGAAAGCUUACUACUCAAUUGUCCUUAUGAGCAUUAAGGUCACACAGUGCGUCAGAUCAUACUGGCCCAGAUGCCUGAGAGGCACAUGUGCACUCGGGGAAGUGGGAGCCUCUUCACUGCCUGCCUUGGAAUUCAACCACCUGAGCCAGAAUCUACAGAACCAGAGGAGGCGGAUGGGCCAGUGUCAGCAGAGGGAAUGCAGAACAAGAAGGCUCGCUAGCAGAAGAGGCUGCCCAAGGGCCCUGGGUGCAUCCAGGGCUGCUUCAGGAUGGAGCUAGGCAAGUGGAGAGAAUGUAGAGACGGGGCUUCACCGUGUUAACCAAGAUGGUCUCAAUCUCCUGACCUCGUGAUCUGCCCGCCUCAGCCUCCCAAAGUGCUGGGAUUACAGGCGUGAGCCACCGCGCCCGGCCUAGAAGGUGAAAGUUUUAGCGGUAACAGCCGUGGUUCACGAGGAGCCCCACGUCAGGCCCUAUGGUGUGCACAUUCCUUGGGUCUUCACAGCUGUCCUGCCGGGUCUUUUGCUGAAGCCUUCUGAGCUUGCUCAGUCUACAGCCAGGGUGGCUGGGAAGACGAACCUGGAAGGGCACUCCGCAGCAGUGGGCAGGGGAGAUGUCCCAGCCUCCUGUCCUUCAGAGGCACGGCCUGCGCGGUGUCUCGAACGUGGCUGGGCCCCGGGCCCGCAGUGGGAGCAGCUCAGCAUGCACCUUUUGUUGUCUUUUCUCGCCUCUCAUUGGCCUGUUUCCUCUGCUACCAGCUCCCACACCGUUGGCUCUGAGACAGCUUCCAAAGUGACAGCUGGUGCAGCCUCCCAGGGACAGCGGGGGCAGGGGAGCCCUCUGUGUCCACGGUGACAAGCCAGUCCCAGGUUUCACUGCAUUUGCUGCUUAUGGUCUGCAUGAGCAGGGAUCCCAAGCCUGGAUUCCCCUCAUUCCUUCUGUGCAGAGCUGUCUCCAGGAACAAAGUUGGCAUAGUGUUAGCGUUAGCAAAUUUAGGGGGUAUCUUUAAUAUUUCUCUAAUGGUCUGCUGAGUUCAGAGAUGACAGAAUUUAUUCCACAGUGUGGUGUGGUUUAUUAGUGACUAUUUGCUGUUUGACAGGAAAGAAACUUUGCAUUGCUGUCUUCCUUCUUAGAGCUCUCUUCAAAUCCCCUUUCCAAAAUAAUCUUAAAGAAUUCAAAUCAGAAUCUAAAACGGAUGUACCGUUUGAAUGUGGGCCCAUACCCAGAUUUGGGGCCCAUACCAUUUUGAAUGGUAUUUUCAAAAUUUCAGUUUCCAUUUGCUCAUUAUAGGUACAUAGAAAUGCAAAAAUAAAUUGCAUAUCCUGCAACCAUGCUAGAUCCACCUUAGCAGUUUGGUGGAUUGUGUGGGGUUUUGUGCACACACUCUCAUCAUCUGUGAACCCCAUAUUCUUAUUUAGAGCACAGAGGUAAUACCAUCUGGUCUCUCGGUGUAGGAAAUUUAGAGCCUUUCUGUUGUUACGUUACCACUGACUGGAGACCUCCGACGGCAAAGAAUUUAAAACGCACACCGAGGAGGUCUGUUCCGUUGUGGAAGAGUUGCCAUUGUUAGGAAUCUUGUUCAUAUUUUGGCUGCGCAUUUUGGUUCUGUGUGGCAGCCACCCAAAGACUUCGAGGCAUCUGGAAAGUCCUCCGUGGGCGCCUCCAGCAGGGUGAGCAGUUUCCCUGGGGACUCCUUGCAUGAGGGGCCCUGAUGACUUGUGUGGAACCCAGCAUUGGGAAAGGAAUCAUGAUGUGACCAGAAUUGCUUCUAGUACAAUAUGAAGUAGUGAGUUUUGAAAAGUCAGAGUGACUACGAGCUGAAUGGGAGGUUUAGAUAGGGAGCCAUAAGAAGUGUUCCUUUGAGACAGGUCUUAAAACACACGGCAUUUCCCCCAUGCAUGUACUUUGUUGCUGAAAGAUAAAGACAAAACAAAAACCCAAGGGACAAAUGUAUGCCGCUGAUUAUUUUUAAUGAUUUUGUGCUAUGGUUUGACCACAGCAUUAAGAACAAGCAGAAAAAUCUGAUUUCAUAACUAACAAACAGCACUUAGAGCAACAUCUUUCUUUAAAAGUAUUGCAAUUACAGACCUUAGGUCUAAGAACUACAUCACCAUUGCUCAGGUAAAAGAGGCAGAUACGUGACAGGUGGAAAUUAUUUUCUGUAUGUAACUGGGAAUUAUGUUGAAAAGUAAGCACAAAUGUUUGCUAAAAGAAACUUUAAUGACUUUUGAUUAUCAUAGCUCACAACCAACUAUUGAAAAGUUCAAAUACAGUUGUACUUUUUUUAGUAGAUUGCUUUAUAAUAAAAAUUAAAUGAACUAAAUGCUGUGAAUAGUAUUGUACAUAUUUUAAAAGAGCCUUAAACUAGACAAGUAUACAAGUAGCAUGAUUUUUGAAAGCUAUGAAAUGAAAAAUAGCAACAUACCAACGAGCACAUUCAAAUGAACCAGUAUCAUUAACAGUCAAGUUUAAGCCUCAAUUCGUCCUGUAGAAAGGAAGCAAUGAUGUGGUCACAAAUUUUAGUACCUCUGAGUCUAGAACAUUCUCAUGCUCAACAGUUCUCCUGGGUCCAAGGUUGAACCUGGGGGGUAGGAGCUUUGUUUCUGACAGUAACGAGCCUCAGUUCUUAAUGCUGAAUCCCAAGGGGUGCACCCUACAGUAUAUGAUGGAACCAACACACAGGUCUGGACACGCGGGAUUCAUACCACCAUGAGUGUCAACUUUUCACGGCCCUUUCAGACAGAUACUAAAAGGGCUGACUUUUAAUCCAUUCAGCAUUAGGAGUUGCCUUGUAGAGUCCAUUUCAGUUUCAGGAUAAGCGGUCAUUUGUUUCUUGGAAGUUAGGGGUAUGAUUCUAUUGUGAUUUUCAAAGAACAUACACCAUGGAGCAAAUAAAAACUUUGGAAUUUAUUAGACUCCACUUUGGUGGCAGAAUAAGCUGAUAAUAUGGGUCAGACGGGCCAAAUUCCACCAACUGCUCUUACGGGACAGCACUCGAAAGGACACCCACACCCAAGAUUCAACCGUGGUUUUAAUGAACACGGUGUUAUGCACGUCUCUCGUUCUUUCUUUUUAAAAUUAGGGUAUUUGAAGAUAAAUGCAGAGGUCACAAUCAGACACUAAAAACUAAGCUGGAAGAGAGAUGUAACACUAUACAAUUCAAAACGUAAUUUCUAACUGAUGGCAAAACCGAGUUUGCUUUUGGGGUCAGGAUUAUGAUGGGACAUGAAUGGAAUGGAUGAGAGGGCCUUCACUUGGCUGGCUGACAGCCAAGUCUCUUCUAGUGCUAACCCAUAACGAAACGCUUUUUCUAAGAACAGGGUCUUCUUGUAAGUGGGUUUGUUUUUCCUGAGGUAUUCUUUCCCUACAAUCUCUACUGUUACUUCAUUGGCUCCACAGCUUCAGUUUGUAAAAGAAAAAGGCACAGAGAGACUUGGACACAGAUGUUCACAGAUGCCUCUGGAGCUGAACAGAGUCCUCUGCUGCAGGCUGAUUUCCUUAUUCCUCUGGCACAGUUUCUGCAAUAUUAACAACAAAAUGUGCACUUUUCACUAAGGCCUGACACCUUCAUGAUGCUGCAGCAGGAGACAGAUGCAGGAGGUUAUAAAGCAAGAUGAAAAACAACAUUGUGCUGACUCAAAUAUAAGUAACACUGGUCCAGCUGAGCAUUACUAAAUGAUUCAAAUAAGAAGCGUCUAGUGGCAACCAAAACGCUGUGGGAUUUUUUAAAACGUAUUUUCUUUAAAGUGUUUUCACAGCAAAGAUGCAACUUUCCAUUGCUAUAUAUACGCUGGUCAUAAACUGUUGCUUGUUUGUUCACACUUCUUUCUCGUGUUAUAAUAUUGAUAUUUAAUAGGAAAAUAAACUACAUAGACUUUAA